GUUCAGAAACAAUUGGAAAAGUUCUGCCAUCACUGUGGAAAAGAUGUUUCAAAAUCAACGUUUUACCGCCAUCUCAACAAUGAAAAAGUGGAAAUGGAAAACCAAGACAACAUAGAUGAAGUGUUAGCAGAAAGUGUGCAGAUGACAAGACUACCAGACUGCAUUGAAGAUGACAUUGGUGAUGACUCUGAAGGAAAUGAACAA
Oryzias melastigma (Indian medaka) is the source of this 204-nucleotide long non-coding RNA. RefSeq lists it as uncharacterized. The transcript is spliced from 3 exons. The record is from RefSeq and is a predicted model, not a curated record. Lineage: Eukaryota; Metazoa; Chordata; Actinopteri; Beloniformes; Adrianichthyidae.